AGAGUUUGAUCCUGGCUCAGGAUGAACGCUAGCGGCAGGCUUAACACAUGCAAGUCGAGGGGUAGAAGCAGCUUGCUGCUUUGAGACCGGCGCACGGGUGCGUAACGCGUAUGCAAUCUACCUUUUACAGAGGGAUAGCCCAGAGAAAUUUGGAUUAAUACCUCAUAGUAUGUGAGAAUCGCAUGGUUUUCACAUUAAAGUUCCAACGGUAAAAGAUGAGCAUGCGUCCCAUUAGCUAGAUGGUAAGGUAACGGCUUACCAUGGCGACGAUGGGUAGGGGUCCUGAGAGGGAGAUCCCCCACACUGGUACUGAGACACGGACCAGACUCCUACGGGAGGCAGCAGUGAGGAAUAUUGGACAAUGGGCGCAAGCCUGAUCCAGCCAUGCCGCGUGCAGGAUGACGGUCCUAUGGAUUGUAAACUGCUUUUGUACAGGAAGAAACACUCCCUCGUGAGGGAGCUUGACGGUACUGUAAGAAUAAGGAUCGGCUAACUCCGUGCCAGCAGCCGCGGUAAUACGGAGGAUCCAAGCGUUAUCCGGAAUCAUUGGGUUUAAAGGGUCCGUAGGCGGUUUAAUAAGUCAGUGGUGAAAGCCCAUCGCUCAACGGUGGAACGGCCAUUGAUACUGUUAAACUUGAAUUAUUAGGAAGUAACUAGAAUAUGUAGUGUAGCGGUGAAAUGCUUAGAGAUUACAUGGAAUACCAAUUGCGAAGGCAGGUUACUACUAAUGGAUUGACGCUGAUGGACGAAAAGCGUGGGUUAGCGAACAGGAUUAGAUACCCUGGUAGUCCACGCCGUAAACGAUGGAUACUAGCUGUUGGGCGCAAGUUCAGUGGCUAAGCGAAAGUGAUAAGUAUCCCACCUGGGGAGUACGUUCGCAAGAAUGAAACUCAAAGGAAUUGACGGGGGCCCGCACAAGCGGUGGAGCAUGUGGUUUAAUUGGAUGAUACGCGAGGAACCUUACCAAGGAUUAAAUGUAGUUUGACCGAUUUGGAAACAGAUCUUUCGCAAGACAAAUUACAAGGUGCUGCAUGGUUGU
RNAcentral lists this ribosomal RNA (1039 nucleotides) under uncultured bacterium. RNAcentral describes it as "bacterial SSU rRNA". It matches the Rfam family "Bacterial small subunit ribosomal RNA", at positions 8 to 1052 of the family's 1533-position model. The record is from RNAcentral.